CCGUCGCAGUGGAAAGGAGACAAUAAGAGAAGAGGAAGUGGUUUUUCUGGAUGAACUCAAUAACUAUGUUCACGUCUACACAACACAACAAUAAAAAUAUUGAAAAGAUGAAUAUAAUUAUGCAGGAAUCUUUUGAUAGACUAGAAUCAACAAACGGUCCUAUAGCUUACCAAAAUGGAAAUGAAAUUCAAGAAUAUGAUACCAUCAUGAAUUUAGUGAUUCCAAAAGAAAUACCAUGCACAAUAGAAAUUAGAAAUUAUACCAAAAAUAAGAUAACAAAUGGACUUGGUGUUUAUUAUGGUUGCGGUCAUGUUUUGACUGCUUUCCAUGUUAUUGAGGAUAUCGGUACAUGUCGUGAGCAGGAUAAAAUAUUGGUUACUUUCAUGACUGAAGAUAUUGUGCUGGUCUAUAAGGCUGUCAUUACAGAAUUUUGUAACUUUGACAAAUCUAGAGAUCAAGCUUAUAUUAAAUUACUUGGCAAUACACAUCCACUUGGUGAUGGUCUACAAAAUCAGAUGGAUAACCCCGAUAAAAUUGAAAGUAUAUAUUUUUACACUUUAGUCAAUGGGAAUUUUCAGAAGAAGGAGGGUAAAUUAAUUCGUCCAAAUUCAAGCAUGAAGGCACAAAUGCUUCCUUCUGAGUUUGUAAUAUCUCUAGCAGGUAAACAUGGAGACAGUGGCUCACCUGUUUACAAUGAAAAAGAUAAACUGAUUGGAAUAUAUAGAGGUGACUUUACAUGCACGACGACCUCUGAUAAAUAUGGCCACUAUACUGAAAUCUCUCCAAAGUUUAUACCCUGGAUGAAUAAACGUACUUAAAGUAAGAUUUGGCGUUUUUUAGGAAAGUUCCUAGUUUUUUUAUAGAAAAAAAAUUCAACAAUUUGAAAACAUAUUAUAUUUUUUAAAAUAUCGAAGUUCUGAUUUGUUUAAAAAUAUCGAAGUUUUGUGAUAUUUAAAAAUAUCGAAGUUUUAAGAUGUUUAAAAAUAAAGUUUUGAGAAAAAUAUUUUAAAAUAUCGAAGUUUUGAGAUAGAUAUUUAAAAAUAUUGAAGUUUUGAGAUAGAUAUUUAAAAAUAUCAAAGUUUUGUGAUAUUUAAAAAUAUCGAAGUUUUAAGAUGUUUAAAAAUAAAGUUUUGAGAAAAAUAUUUUAAAAUAUCGAAGUUUUGAGAUAGAUAUUUAAAAAUAUUGAAGUUUUGAGAUAGAUAUUUAAAAAUAUUGAAGUUUUGAGAUAUUUAAAAUUAUUGAAGUAAACUUGUAGUUUACAACAAAGUAGUUGCAAAAACCAACUGCUUGGACGUUAAUUGUACAACUGUUUGGUUGACAAUAAUUGAUUUUAGUCUAUCAAAUAUAUUUAUUGUUAUAACAUUUUAUCCUUUAAAUAAAUAAAUAAAUCAUGAAUAAAUCUGAGAUCCCAUGUGGCAUGUUGUUGCAUGAGGCCUUGGGCUCUUGCGUAACAGUCACAUUUUACAGAUUUCUUUCAUGGUUUAAAAAAAAGUUUGUGGAGAAAUAAUAGCAUGCCAUUUAGGAAAUUAUUAUUAUUAAAUAUAUAGAAAGUAAGCCUGAAUAUGUGGAAUGAAACUUAUAUUUAAAUAAAAUAUGGUCCUGCAGGGCCAAUUUUUUCUAUCUUUUUUUGCUUUCAUGGCAAACUGUUUGUCACUCCCUUUCUGUUUUCGGGGCUUGAGGUGCACGUGUGGAAGUGCGCGUGCAUGUGCGUGCAUGUGCAUGAGGCAUGUGAGUCACUAGAAAGAAGCCAAGGCUUUUGUUUCUGCCAGACCUGAGAAAUAAAAGUUCACGUGCAAGAACAACCUGAGUCCACUGAGUCUCACCUUCUGAAUAUUUACCACACUGGUGGCCAAGCCAGGGAGAUCAACGCAUCAUGAAUGCCACAUGGACAUGGAGGCAAAUCCCCUGGCACAGAUCGUAGAGCCUCGAGAAAUCAUCAGCAUCAAGCUCUCAUGGGUCUGCAGUAACAACAUCAGGAAAUCCUCAUGAAAAACCAUGGAGGAGAACGCUGCAGGCCAAACCACCAUCCAGAGCCUGCUGGCACGAGCUCCUCCCUAAACUCCUUCUCGCUGGCCAAAAUGACACCCCAGGAUGAUGUCGAGGUGUACCUGGAGAUGUUCCAAAGUAAUGCCUCUGCGUGUGGCUGGCCGAGAUGCACAUUCAAGUCCUUCUGAACAGAGGCCUGGCUGAUUUCCAGUGGCUCACACUUGACUCAUGCAUCAUGGACACACACACAGAGAACACACAGGUUUGGCUCAGUAAGACAGAGAGAGAGGGACAGAACAGCUUGCUAUUAUAAGCCCACAAAUAAUCAACAGGCAUAUCAGAAUAAUCACAUUUGAGUUGAGGUACAUUCACACAUACAAGGAAUUUGCUGUUGAAUGUGCUAUGCAAAUAAACUGAUUUGACUGGACUGGUGAAUGAGUCUCUGGAAACCACUUCCUCCUCCAUGUUACCGAUCCACUGCCCAGAGUGAGGUCCUCAAAAUAAGAUACACUAAAGAUUGGCAUUUUACAAAAAAUUAAACGUCUCACCCUUGCUUCACUGGAUGGAGGACACCUGGGUGCUGUCGAUUUGGAUCUGCGAAAUGCUGCUGUCAUCAUCGCUGCAAUCAUCACUCCUGCACAUUUACUACUGUCUGUCUUUACACUCCUAUAUCUGUGGACUGUAAUGAUUUAUAAUCGCAUUCGCCGAUUUCACCCACAAGAGGAUGGGUUCCCUUUUGAGUCUGGUUUCAUCAUCUCAGGGAGUUUUUCCUUGUCACUGUUGCUCACUCGGGAUCGAAACUUACAUCCAGAAUUCUGUAACAAAAAUGUCUGUUGGAAAAAAGAAAAAAAAAGUACGAAUAAAGCCAAACUCUGAACUGAA
Molecule: long non-coding RNA, 2868 nt
Organism: Neoarius graeffei (lesser salmon catfish)
Lineage: Eukaryota; Metazoa; Chordata; Actinopteri; Siluriformes; Ariidae
Exons: 3
Source: RefSeq, a predicted model, not a curated record